This 245-nucleotide long non-coding RNA is filed under the name Solanum tuberosum (potato). RNAcentral describes it as "long non-coding RNA (STUB_LNC010784)". Lineage: Eukaryota; Viridiplantae; Streptophyta; Magnoliopsida; Solanales; Solanaceae. The record is from RNAcentral.
UCAAUUCCAAAGUGCUGGCUCAAACUGAUCAUGUUAGCUUGGACCCAUUCAUUGGCUGUAGCUUCAACAUCUCUUUCUUGAUUGCUGCUAUCAAUUUGGAUUGGUACCGGUUCUGAAUCUGCAUACAUGACAACCAUUGCAUCAGAGAAAUCUAUCUCCUCCCCUGUUCUCUGUUUUUUGCUUUCAGCAGUCUUCUGUAUAGCCAAAUUAUCUCCCUCUUUAAUUUUUUGUUUGUGUUUCUUGCC